CCUGAGUUUACUGCCUUGUUAACUCACACUGGUUUCCAUAGGUUGUGAGUGCAGAGUUCAUAUCUACCUGAAAAUAAACCACAUGGAUAUAUCCUGUAUCUCAAUUCUCCACUUACAAGUUGUUUAAUAUCAUGAGCCUGGUUGUAGGAGCACUGUGAAGAAAUAAGUAAUGAAAUAUUGGAAGAGGCUCACAUACCCUGUUAACGAGUUUUAAUCUAAAGGCUGCUGGCCCAGAUCUUUCUUCAUGAGGCUGGAUUGACUACUAUGCAAGCCUUUCCUGGCAGAAAUUUGACUAUUAUGUUCCUGGAAACCAUCAGUGACAAAGAUGCCACAGCCAUCUAUGAUCUGCUGUGCUGCACCGACCACGGUUGGUAAGGCCGAGAGAGAUACUUCACCCAGCCUACAACAUUUUGACAAGCAAGAAAAGCCACUGGGAACCUGUAACUUCUCCUCUUCAUACUAGAGCAAAGCAUGUCCUGGAUUUCCUGCUCUGGUAGGCUGCAAAAACCAUGGUUUUGGUGAGGACUUUAGCUCAAGUCCACAAUAAAGGGGUAGAAAAUGGUUUUGCA
This 569-nucleotide long non-coding RNA is filed under the name Anas platyrhynchos platyrhynchos (common mallard). Its description in RNAcentral is "lncRNA (ENSAPLG00000029357.1)". Lineage: Eukaryota; Metazoa; Chordata; Aves; Anseriformes; Anatidae. The record is from RNAcentral.